RNAcentral lists this transfer RNA (74 nucleotides) under bacterium. RNAcentral describes it as "tRNA-Ala". It matches the Rfam family "tRNA". From Rfam's summary of the family: Transfer RNA (tRNA) molecules are approximately 80 nucleotides in length. Their secondary structure includes four short double-helical elements and three loops (D, anti-codon, and T loops). Further hydrogen bonds mediate the characteristic L-shaped molecular structure. tRNAs have two regions of fundamental functional importance: the anti-codon, which is responsible for specific mRNA codon recognition, and the 3' end, to which the tRNAs corresponding amino acid is attached (by aminoacyl-tRNA synthetases). tRNAs cope with the degeneracy of the genetic code in two manners: having more than one tRNA (with a specific anti-codon) for a particular amino acid; and 'wobble' base-pairing, i.e. permitting non-standard base-pairing at the 3rd anti-codon position. The record is from RNAcentral. RNAcentral also lists the same sequence under 1 other name.
GGGCCUGUAGCUCAACGGUAGAGCAUCCCGUUCGCAUCGGGAAGACAUGGGUUCGACUCCCAUCAGGUCCACCA